RNAcentral lists this small nuclear RNA (107 nucleotides) under Meriones unguiculatus (Mongolian gerbil). The record is from RNAcentral. Lineage: Eukaryota; Metazoa; Chordata; Mammalia; Rodentia; Muridae.
GGGCUCGCUUCAGCAGGACAUAUACUAAAAUUGGAACGAUACAGAGAAGAUUAGCAUGGCCCCUGCACAAGGAUGACACACAAAUUCGUGAAGCGUUCCAUAUUUUU